Stomoxys calcitrans (stable fly) is the source of this 1590-nucleotide long non-coding RNA. RefSeq lists it as uncharacterized. The transcript is spliced from 4 exons. The record is from RefSeq and is a predicted model, not a curated record. NCBI's taxonomy places the organism in Eukaryota, Metazoa, Arthropoda, Insecta, Diptera, Muscidae.
AGCCAACCAGCCAGCCAUCAAACUAGUCUGUCCGACCGCCCAUACGCCUGCCAUACACACGUUAAGUCAUCUCUCACACGGAAACCGCGUUGCAGUCGCCUUGACGCCUUGUAGGUGGCUGGGUGUAGAAGUAGUGUAAGGUGCUUCCUGAGUUUGCAAUUCUUGUUUUUUGCCUCUCUUCGUCAUUGUGCAAAUAGUAAAUCUAUUGCGAACACCAGCGUAACUGGCGCUGUCUCCUCUUCCGCCACUGCCUAGGUUGACGUUCUUAUAAACAUCUCUGCCGGCUGUUUAACUUCAACAUGUAACUCUCAUCCUCCUCGAACAAUGAUAAGGAUGGCGAUGAUGAUGUUGAUGGUGGGCGCACUACUGCUAGGAAGUUCAAUUUGAAGCUGCAAUUGUGUGAUGAUUAUAUUAGCGCACCAAGUCUGUCAUCUCGUCGUCGAACAUCCAACCAUCCGACUCUGGGGCAGCGCUGCCAUCAGCAGCAGGCUCACAUUUCGUUGGAGAAAACGAAGUUUUGCCCAACAAUUUUGUUGUGUGCGUUCAGUAGUUAACCGUGACUUGGCCAGUUAUGAAACGCGAGUGGUAUGAUACAGAUGUGUGUCUCAUUGCUAUCAUCCAUUCAUUCAUUCAUCCAUCCAUCCAUCCAUUCGUGGGAUCAACCUUCCAUCCUGCCAGCGACUGACUAAGCCAAAGUGAUUCUAGACUAACACUAACACUUCAAGGCAACCAAAAGCAAGAAAGUGUCCCCGAGUCCUUACAAUAUUUGUGGGUGUCCUCGACAAUCAUCAGGCGUUGAGUGUUUGUGUGUGUCUGUGUGUGUGUGUGUAUGCAUGUUUCACGUGAGCCCAAGUGCUGCUAGUGUGUCUUUGUGCCUUUUUGACGUCGUGCAUUAGUGACCGACCAACCAUCAACGAGUGUAAUGGGUAUGGGGUAUGGGCUUUGAUGACGCGAUACCUUAUCCUAAUGAAAGUGUAACAUUUCCAAAGUUGAAAUAAAAGAUUCGUUUUAAACACUAAGUGAUGCCACAAAUCAAAGGGCACCCACCUAUCACUAUUUAACUAUGUUUUAUAUUUUGCAACGAUUCAAAUCGACCAAUUAAUUUAAAGUAUCUCCAAAGGACUUGUUAACAAUCGAUUGCCAAAAACAAAGUGUCUGCGUGUGUAAAUGUGUGGCUCCAAUGAUUUCAUUCGUUUCGUUUUUGCUGAACAUUAAAUCGAAUUUGAGCUUGUGGCCAAGUCUAAAAACCGCAAUAUUUGAUUAAAUUGUAUGCUGGUGGCAAUGUCCGCAAAACAGUGUUUCAACUUGAUAAUUGCCCAAUCAUAUUAAAUUAAACAAAUUGGAAUUGGAAAAUAAAAAUCCAUUGAAUCAAUUUUUGCGGAUCAACAGCAAUGGACAUUCAGUUUUAUGUUUCAUAAGCCCGUUAUGCCUGCACAACUAUUAUGCUGCCAUUCGUUUGCCACUGACUGUGAAUGCUAGCAUUUUCCACAACAAGUUACCAUGUUGAAAUGUGAUUAUUAAUAAAAAAAAUAAAAUAUCUACAUAAUCCUCAACUAAUAAAGAAUGGUGGCGAAAAGUGCAAGAAUAUGG